Molecule: long non-coding RNA, 4752 nt
Filed under: Homo sapiens (human)
Lineage: Eukaryota; Metazoa; Chordata; Mammalia; Primates; Hominidae
Description: HSALNT0348821
Source: RNAcentral
ACUCCUGAGGAGCUAUCCCAGAGUCCGCGCGGCCUCGCCUUCCCGGCCCGCUCACCACCCCGCCUCGUCCCACCUCGCCUCGCCCUCCCCGGGCUCUAGCCACUUGGUGCGGCAGGUGUCCUGCAGGCCGGCUCGAGAUUCCCGAGCUCGCCCUCGUGGUGUUCCAGGAACACGGUACUUUGCGCUAGCCUGGCCUGUCCUGAGAGACUGCGGGAGGCGAAGAGAACGCGCUGUUGCUGUGGGAAGCGCCGGGGACGGGACAGCUACACCGCCAAACACUUCGCUAGGGAAAGGGCUGGCUGGUUUCAGUCUCGCUCGGGCACCAGGCUGGAGUGCAGUGGCACGGUCUCGGCUUACUACAACCUCCGCCUUCCGGAUUCAAGUGAUUCUGCUGCCUCAGCCUCCCGAAUAGCUGGGAUUACAGUGUUUCAGAAUCACCUGGGAUGAUCUGCAUGAAGAUUCCUGGCCUCCACCAAAGACUUACUGAAUCAGAAAGGAGGCAAGAGGAUGAGGAAUGCUUAAGAAUCUGCAUUAACAAACUUUACAAAUGAAUCUUACAACAUACAGAAGCAUGGAAACUACUGCCUCAAGGGAUUAUCUCAACUUGAGUUUAAACAUAGGAAUUGCUGACUACCUUUAAAAUGUAAAAAUAGUAUCUUUAUGGGAGGGAUGUUGUUUGGGGGCAGCUACUAAAUAGUGAAAUCAUUCCUUUAAAAUACCCUCUCAAGUCUGCCCCAGUUAUCCAUUUUACUGGAUAGUCUUGGUAUCCAGAUGAUUUAGGGAAAAAAAUAGUAGUAGCAAACUCUGAAAACACUCAGUAAAGUUCAUUCUUGGUCUUCUCUUCCUAAAUUUGUUUUCAAUUGUUAGAUUUAAACACUAAACAAGACCAAAAGAGAACUUUAUUUUACAUGUCUUUAUUUUACAUUUAGAACCGUUUUAUGAUUUACUUAAAAAAAAAAUCUUUUACUAUUAUUAGAAGUAUUUUUUAACCAAAAUCUUGAUUUAGGAAGACUUAAGACAUUGUGCAUUAUUUUAAAUAUUUUCAUUUCAGUAACUAUUAAAAAUAAAUUCACAAUUAGGGUUUCAAAUGUCCUAAUCAUAUCUAGUUUGUUCUCAUUUAAUAUUUUAUCAAUCCCAUCAUGUGCAUACAGAGGUUAAGGUGAUGUAUAAAUUUUAUAUCUUUCAAACACAUUGAUGCUAAUCAGCUCUUGAUCUAAUUACUAUUUCAUUUAUUCAGAAAUAGCAUUUAGACAUAAAAACCAAUGUCUCACUUUGUAAAAUAACCUUUGGCUAAUUUACACACAUCUAAUACAGCGUGUUAUAUAAGUUUUAAGUAAUACAAUGAGUCACUACUAUCAUUCAGUUUUAAAUAUUUUUAGUGUUAACAGGGCUGAGAAUAUCAUGUGGUUCAGUCUUCUGAAGGAAGUUAUAUAAUAAAAGCAUAGUGCCUUUGAACAUGAAGACUAUCCUCAAGGCCAGAAAUCCUACAAAGGAACUGAAAGGAGAGAUUCCAGAGAAUUGCUCUCCUCAUUUUUAAUAUGUAAAGUGACUGUUUUAAGUCACUUCAUUGAAGACUUAAGGAAGAAAACAGUGUUAUUAUGCCACUGAAUAAAGCUACUUAAACCAGAGUAAUUUUGGGAUAUUAAUCCUAGGCUACAUAAUUAAUAGGUCAUCAAAACAAAAACCUGUCAGUUAUUAGGUGUAAGUUAACUUCCUAUGCCAAGUAAGGGGUCACACUUCACUUCCCCCAUUUGUAAAAUGAAAAGGUGGCCAGGCCAGUGCCAUUUAGGAUUCUCUGCUAACUGUAAAAUGUGGACUGAUUUUCUUCUGUUUCUUAUAGUCCAGGUGUAUAUAAACUUCCAGUUCUUUAAGUCAAAAUUUUUAUGCACAUAACCAUGUCAGUGUAUUGCCCUUAGUUUAAAAAUGUACAACUACAUAAAUAAAAACUAUUGUUUCUUCAAUAUUACUUGACAUUUCUUCUGUAAUUUCUUUAUUUAAAAAAGUAAAUGUAACAAGAUACUUAAAAAAGGCUAGAUACAAAAGUAGUUAAGCUGCUCACGAACAUUUAAAAUUUUCCAAAAUGUAUCUUCAAUAAUCAUGAUCUUAUAAAACAUUUUACAGUUAUCAGAAAGUGCCCAGGCUGAGUUUACAUAACUGAAAUACCUUAGUACAAAUGUCUAGUUAGAACUGAAGUGCAGUAACCUCUUGAGACUGACUGCUCAUUGAAAUAGGGAUACAAAGAAAAAGUUGAUUGUGAUAAAAGUAUUGUGCAUUGGCCCCAUCAUAUGUACAAAAAAAGUGCCCUCACUCAAAUGAGCAAAUUACAUGCAAAAUAUUAGUGAUAUCAUUUAAUAUCCUAGAGCUCAAUGCAGUCAAACCGCAAUAAAAGUGGUUUUUAUAGGUAAAAGUGAUUUCAUCUCUUAAGAUCUGAAUGUCGAGAACUUUUUUACAAGUUCCAUAUACAUGAUACACAGUUGCAGCCAACCACAAAUUAAACACCAUAAAAAAAGUUAAAAUGAAAACACAGAACAUACUUAAUUUUUUAUUUUGAAAUUCCCUAUUCCCUCUAUACAAGAACCUUUGCUGAAACAGUUUCCACAAAGGCAGCAGUGAAUUUUCAGAACAUUUACAUUUUUUCCCCCUCAGCAAAAAGAUAAAUCACAGUGUAAAUUAUGUUGUUCUGCUGUCAUCUUUGGCUGGGGUUAGACCCAGAAGUUGGUGACUAGCAAACCAAUAUAGCCAAAUGUUGCUAGUGCUCCUUAGGCCUUUAAGCUAUAAACUCAGCAAGGAAUGUCUGCAUUUUAUCUCUUUAAGGUACCACCAGGGGGGUAUGACAGCAUUAACUUCCAUAAACUUUUAUAGACAAAUGGAAAAAAAUCUACAAAAUUUGCUAGUAAUAUUACACAGCAAUACACACUUUUUAUACUCUACACAAAACCAAAAUUCUUGGUCUUAAUGGCGAGUAACAAUUUCUGUUUGAGAAUCUGUUUAGAGGAAUAGAGUGGGACGUAAAGUCGAGAAAUGCAAGUAUUUGCAGUAGGAAGAUGUUGGUCAUCUGGUGGUCUUAUUGUGAUUGAGGGCAUAGGCUGGAAUCCUUCUUCACUGGCUGGCAGUGAUGGGCUUGAUGUCCAAAAGUAAACCUGAACAGGAAUUUAACAGGUUAAUAUUUAACUCUUAACUCUGGCAGUAUAUACACAAAGCCCUAUUGUUAUGUUAAUAACCUAAAAGGAGAUAUUAUUUUGAACUGGAUUUUAAAUAUAUUUUCUUGUACUAAAAAGGAAAGGGAUCAUUCAUACCUCAAGACAGGUUUUUGUUUUUGUUUUUUUUCCCCAAAGGAGUAAGUCUAGAGUUAGUAGAGGAAAAAAAGGUGACUUUCUGUCACAGAGCCUCAGUAUUUUCAUCUGUAACAUGAGGCUGUUGGACUAAAUGGUUUCUAAGAGCCUUUCUUGCAGCUAAUUCCAUAAAGUGUCUAUUAGUGGAAAAAAGGCUGCCAAACAAAAGAUACGGUCUUAGGUUCAAAACUCACACAGGUUAUCUUAAAAAGUUAUUUUGCAUUAAGGAGCAAAAUAAUGCAAAUAAUAAAAUAAUAAAGCAAAAAAAGUAUUUACUGCUACAUUGUGAUACAGAAUCAUUUUAUAAUAGUAAUUAUUGGGGAACAUCUAUCUAUGCAUCAAAAUUCAUGCAAUAAGCCAUAUUAACACUAAGUUUUAUCAUACCUCUGUAAUAAAACUUUGUGCAACACAGUGUAAAUGAUGCUCAGUAAAUGUGAACUUACACUUUUUAACUUAACCAAGGAUAUGCCUCCCUGAAAUAGUUUGCUGAACAUGUAACAUUCCUCAUCAAUCCAUCCCUUCAUACAUACGCAUCAUUCUUCAGUGUCUGUCUCUCUUAAGGAAAAGCUUUUUUUUUAAUCUAAUCAUUUUAUAAUGCACAACAAUGAAGUAUAUCCAAUUUCCUAGAAUGACUAGGAAACCUAAACAAACUUAAGAUUUCCUGAAGCACAGUUGUAUGGGAAAGCUCAUCUAGAAUUCUAUAUAAAGGGACAGAAAAAAAAAAAAAAAGUUAAGUAUCAGGAUCUAUAAAAUCUGAAAAGAAAUAGAAAACAGGUACUCUAGAGAUGAAGUUGAUCUAAACCACUCAUUUCAUAGAUAAGAAACAAGCUUAAUAUAAAGUGUUUCUCCAAGGAUGAAUGUGGUUAACCAGGGUAGAUGACCUCACUGCUGGAUCUCUAAGAAGUUGGAAGAGAAAUACUUUUACUAGUGAAUUAUAACACUCCAAGAGGGAAAUAAACUGUAGUUUACCCAAUAACUCUGGAAACCCUAUAAGUUGCAGGACUAAUUAAUUCAUGGGAGAACUGUUUCAGAAACCCCAUUCUUAUGUCCUCUAGAUGCAUCAGGAUGAAACCAAACAAUAUGUGAAGGAUGACUUCCCAAAAAGAGGAGAAGGGUAAGGGGGAGGAAGAUACCAUGAUAAACUGCUUACACCCUAAACAUAGAUUUUCAAUAAGAGUUUAAGGUUCACAAACUAAAGCUGUUGACAGGAAAUUUUGAGGUCUUUAUAGAAGGAGAUUUUCUUUUUUCUAAGAUUGAGUCACUAGCAAAUUUUUCUUUCAGUAGAAGGCAGAAACUCAUGAGAUUUAAGUUGGCUGACUGGACUGAGGAAAUACUGGUUUAAAAACGGCAGAAUUGGGAGGCCAAGACAGGCGGAUCAUGAGGUCAGGAAAUCGAGAUCAUCCAGGCUAACAUGGUGAAA